AACCCUAGACAGGGGAUCACUUGGCUCAUGGGUCGAUGAAGACCGCAGCAAACUGCGCGUCGCCGUGUGAACUGCAGGACACAUGAUCAUUGACAUGUUGAACGCAUAUUGCGCCUUAUACAU
Molecule: ribosomal RNA, 123 nt
Filed under: Glyptotendipes barbipes
Lineage: Eukaryota; Metazoa; Arthropoda; Insecta; Diptera; Chironomidae
Also listed under: 1 other name
Description: mature 5.8S rRNA
Rfam family: 5.8S ribosomal RNA
About the family: 5.8S ribosomal RNA (5.8S rRNA) is a component of the large subunit of the eukaryotic ribosome. It is transcribed by RNA polymerase I as part of the 45S precursor that also contains 18S and 28S rRNA. Functionally, it is thought that 5.8S rRNA may be involved in ribosome translocation.
Source: RNAcentral